CCCACCCCACCCGCUGCCCUCGAUUCUCACCCGACCUCCCUCGAUCCCCUCCACCGAACGCCGCAGCACCCUUUGGAUCGUGCCGCCACCACCACCCUCCUGGAUCUCGCCGACGCGCGCGUCCUCCCCAACGGCUGGAGUGCCUCCUCCGCCAAGCCUGGCGAGCGUCCUCCCCCACGGCCGGAGUGCCUCCUCCGCCAAGCCUGGCGAGCGUCUCCCCCCACGGCCGGCGUGCGUCCUCCGCUGCAACCAGGUUGUGCGUGUACUUGUAUGUUUGCGUGAAGCAGAUCAGAAAUCAUGAAGUUCAAAAGGAUAUGGUGGGAGGUUCACAUAUAAAAACCCGACGAUGCUCGUUUGUAUUCGUGUCGGAUGAUAGGCCACUUGCUCUAACAUUUUAUUAUUUGUCUUAAAUUUAAUAAAACUGAACCAUAGAGGUUCAAAAACAAAAAAUGCUUCAAUAUUCAGAGAACAAAACAAGUUCUUUUUUAAAGUUAAAACCCUCAAUGAGCAAAUUGAGAAAUUUUCAUUUACUUUAUCUCUCUAAUCAUAUGGGAAAAUGAGUUCAACUAAAAAGUCACGUAAGAAGUUCAUAUGCAAAAAACAUAUAGUAAAAAAACUACACAAAACGUACAUCUAAAAUAAAUACACAAAACUCCAAAACUCCAAUUUUCACAUUUCUAAAAAAAUACACAAAGAAGUUCAAAUAAAAAAGUUAGUGCGGUUCGAUGUCUAUAAAAAACUCAGAUUUUGUCCGUUACUAAAGUGAAACGGAGAGAAGUUAAAAGUUAUAAUAGCCAGAAGUUCACGUAGUGCAUGGUGUGUGUUUUCAUAUGGGAAAAUAGAAUUAAAAAGUUCAAGUAUAAAAAUUUAGUUGCAAGAAGUUCAGGUGCUCGGCACAGGAAAGUUUUAGAACUUCUUGCGAGAGAAGUAAUCGGCACGGUAUAUCAUUUGUGCAACUCUGAUGAACGGGUGAGAAAUUAUGAACAAAAAUAUGUGGUAGAAGUUCAAAGUGAAAACAACGGGAGGUUCAACUACUACACAGAAUGCAUUUCAGAUGAGAAUAAAACGAAUAAAAAAGUAAAA
Molecule: long non-coding RNA, 1083 nt
Organism: Aegilops tauschii subsp. strangulata
Lineage: Eukaryota; Viridiplantae; Streptophyta; Magnoliopsida; Poales; Poaceae
Source: RefSeq, a predicted model, not a curated record